AUUGAACGCUGGGCGGCAUAGCCUUACACAUGCAAGUCGAACGGCAGCACGGGAGCAAUCCUGGUGGCGAGUGGCGAACGGGUGAGUAAUACAUCGGAACGUGCCCAGUAGUGGGGGAUAACCCGGCGAAAGCCGGACGUAAUACCGCAUACGACCUACGGGUGAAAGCGGGGGAUCGCAAGACCUCGCGCUAUCGGAGCGGCCGAUGUCAGAUUAGCUAGUUGGUGGGGAAAGCCUACCAAGGCGACGAUCUGUAGCUGGUCUGAGAGGA
RNAcentral lists this ribosomal RNA (271 nucleotides) under uncultured bacterium. RNAcentral describes it as "partial 16S ribosomal RNA". It matches the Rfam family "Bacterial small subunit ribosomal RNA", at positions 30 to 300 of the family's 1533-position model. The record is from RNAcentral.